This 219-nucleotide long non-coding RNA is filed under the name Coturnix japonica (Japanese quail). Its description in RNAcentral is "lncRNA (ENSCJPG00005008089.1)". Lineage: Eukaryota; Metazoa; Chordata; Aves; Galliformes; Phasianidae. The record is from RNAcentral.
CUGAAACAUUUGGAAUUGCAUGCAUUUUUUUGCUGAAUUGCUGCAUCUUUGCUAAAGAAUGUAAUCUUGCACCUGGCACAUGGCUCUUUUGGAGAAGUGAGCUCAGUGCCCCUUGGAGUCUCAGAUCUAAGGCUGACUGAUAUGGCCUGCCCUGCACCAGGAGGCUUUGGGGUACUCAUCAUGGGGACAGCCUGUCUUGGGGGUAUGUUCUGGAAGUGA